This 98-nucleotide transfer RNA is filed under the name Actinomycetota bacterium. RNAcentral's name for it is "tRNA-Tyr". Lineage: Bacteria; Bacillati; Actinomycetota. The record is from RNAcentral.
GGCGUUUUCCCAGCUCAGGCGCUAUGUAGGAUGACGUGGAGGAGCGGUCUGUAAAACCGUCGGCUCAGCCUACGAUGGUUCGAACCCAUCACCUGCCA